RNAcentral lists this ribosomal RNA (469 nucleotides) under uncultured bacterium. RNAcentral's name for it is "partial 16S ribosomal RNA". It matches the Rfam family "Bacterial small subunit ribosomal RNA", at positions 27 to 507 of the family's 1533-position model. The record is from RNAcentral.
GGACGAACGCUGGCGGCGUGCUUACCCCAUGCAAGUCGAACGGAAAGGCCCUGCUUUUGUGGGGUGCUCGAGUGGCGAACGGGUGAGUAACACGUGAGUAACCUGCCCUUGACUUUGGGAUAACUUCAGGAAACUGGGGCUAAUACCGGAUAGGAGCUCCUGCUGCAUGGUGGGGGUUGGAAAGUUUCGGCGGUUGGGGAUGGACUCGCGGCUUAUCAGCUUGUUGGUGGGGUAGUGGCUUACCAAGGCUUUGACGGGUAGCCGGCCUGAGGGGGUGACCGGCCACAUUGGGACUGAGAUACGGCCCAGACUCCUACGGGAGGCAGCAGUGGGGAAUAUUGCACAAUGGGCGGAAGCCUGAUGCAGCAACGCCGCGUGCGGGAUGACGGCCUUCGGGUUGUAAACCGCUUUCGCCUGUGACGAAGCGUGAGUGACGGUAAUGGGUAAAGAAGCACCGGCUAACUACGUG